GCACUUUGCGCAGCUGCUUCCGCCGCCAGUCGGAGCGCUGCUCCCGGCCGCCGCCGCCGCCCGCCUCCCGCAGCAGCCCGCCGCUCCCCGCACCGCUGCCCUCGCCCGCGCCGCCCUUCGGGCUCCCGCAUGCGGCGGCGGCGGCCCCUUCCGCGCCGCCGCCCGAGGAUAAUCCCGACGACGAGGUACUGGAAGAGGAGAAGCUAAAUUUCAUUUGAUGAUGUUAUGAAAGCCAAAGUUUUAGUUCUGAAUAGCAAAGCUUUCUAUUUCCCUGGCUCCUAACAAAGCAUGAGAACAGGACACAGUCCAGUGAAAUUUCCAUCCUUGAGGACAGCAAGCUAGACAGCUGACCUGGCUUAAUGCUGGCAAGUGUCCUGCUGCGAGCAGGAGGUUGGAUGAGAAAACCUCAAGAGAGCCCUUCCAAACAACAUCCCAACAGUCCUACAGUGGUGUGCAUGCAAUGAGUGUUACAUUUGGAUUGGCUUCUGGUGUCUGAAAAAGACUGAGAGUGGAUGAUCUCCUGCAUGAUUGCCAAGUUAGUAAAAUUCUUGAUCUUGGUAAAAUAGAAAUGCUUGAUUUAUUAUAGUUUUCUGUAUGUUAUAUUAGGAGAUGAAUUAUUCAGUUUUUCAUAUUUGCUAACUCCAAUAUUAUGUAGAAGGAGAUGCUGAAGCAGUUCAUGAAUAGGUCACAGUCAUUAACCCAGUUUUACAGAUGACCAAUUUGUGUUCUCGUUACAAAUGAUAGUUAGUCCUUUUCUGGAUUUUGGCAUUCUUCUUUCCCUUAGGAAAAAGAAAAAAAAACAAAACAAAAAGAACUGAAGGGAAAUUGCAGAUAAGCACAGGCACUCUGAUCUGUAACUCUUUAUCUUAUCUUUUGUCCAGGCCUUUUGAAGAGUACUAGCUUGACAAAAGGAGCCUGAGAUGAGAAAGAAACCUCUGACUCAUUUUAUUAUCAAUACCUUUACUGGAACUGGGAAGGCUUUUUUUUUUUUUUUUUUUUUUUUUGUCACAGGGAAAAGCUAGAGUGAGAAAGUACAAACCUCCAUCUUACAUACUAUGUAGAGCAUGGCUAAUAUGAUGCUAACAUUUUUACAUAUAUACCACGCUUUACUGCUAAUUAGGGCCAGGCAGAAGGAAUUAAGGGAGCCAUUUUCUACCCAGAAGUGUAAUCACAUCCAAAUCAGUGUUUAGCAUAUAGAUAUUUCAUUGAAUUUUGUUUGACUAAAGCAGCUCUCCAUGGGUUGUGAUAAGGUCUAAAUGUCUAGAUGUUCUACUGUUUUCUGAUAUUUUUUUUUCAGUGCAUUUUUUCAGUGCACAUUAUUAUAUAGUAUGUAAAAUGAUCACGUGGCAAUUACCCUUGAAAUAAAACAUUCACCUGAAAAUACUGUUUGUGUUGAUUUCAGCUGAUUUUUUUCCUUAGAUUUCUCACUUGGAGUAUUAAAAAAAAAUCUAAGUCGUAAGGGAGACUGAUUCUGAAGUGAAGAGAGAAAUCCUCCUGCAGACAGAAUUCUUUUGUUCACGUCUGUUACAUCCACAAGCAUCUGGAGAUCACCUACAGACAAGAUAAACUUCAUCUCCCUCCAAGUCACUGGGAGUUUUUACUUUGAAUAUAUCCAUAACAUAUGGGCAAAAUUAUUUUUUAAGCAAAUAACGUACUUAUUUGGAGACACCCAAAAUAUACUGGGUUUCAAACAUUUGUAUCUGUUGCUGUACAACUGCAAACAAUCUUUGUAUGUUGCUCAAUUUUCCCAGAGCAUUUAGUCAGCAUGAUGAACAGUUUCUGGAGCAAAAAUAAAGCCAAAUUAGGAUAGGCAUUUAUCAAAGCCAUCAAAGUUAUUUUGCUUAGAGUGAAAGCCAAUAGUAUUUACUCAGUGUCUCCUGAUAAGCUCAUUCACAGAAUAAUAUCUUGCUGGAAGAAAUAUGCAUACAUCAACAGAAAGUCACAAGCAGACAGCCUCAACUUGCCUGCUUUGCUGUUCCUCUGAAGCAUGGAAUCAUUAAGGUUAUUUUACAGAUCUAGAAGUUAUUACUUCAGAUAGAAAAGUAGCAAGAUGCUAAUAAGAAAACAUAUGCAAGGUUCUGUUAUUUUUGUGCUGAAAAAUAAAGCUAUGUAUCGAGCAACAAAUAUAUAUUAGGCAUUUUUUAAGGCUGUAAUUCUCUAUGGGUCCUGCUGAUUUUUGUAACUGCACGUAGUACCCUCAAAUGAAAAACAGCUGGCAAACUGUUAGUUCCUGCAUCUGACAGGGCUUGAUGCUUCCAGAAAAAUUUACAUGCAAGAAAUUGUGUUGUUUCAAGUUCAAUAAUCUUAUUUUUGUUAGAAACUCUGAAAGAUACAUCAAAAUAAUUUCGGAAGAACUAAAGAUGUACAGGUUAUGUGACAACGUCUAUUUAAAGAAGAAUGUAGUACCAGAAAUGAAAAUAAACCUUAAGAAGAACAUGCCAUAAGGGAAUUCAUACAGGAAUAGGUCUGGAUUUGCAUUACAGAAGACUGCACUGCUGGGAGCAGAACCAUUCAAGACAAUACCAAACUUACGAGCCAGGCAGCUUGGUCUUGAUAUCCAAAGUUUCUGUCCCCACAGUUGUGUCUAUUCCAUCUCUUCUAUGGUUUGUCUAAAUCAAAGCCGUGCAGUGACCCUGCUUUUAAUCCUUACAUUUUCUGCCAAAGUGCAGAUACCCGAGCAGACAGGGCAUGGCUGAGGCUUCUGACUCAGAGCACUGCUUUCCAUGCACAGAAGCUGAGCUGCUCACAGGUCAGUUGUUGAAGAACUGCAGAUUACACUGUGACAUUUACCUUUGUAUUUUGCUGUAAACUACGCUGGUUUAGCACCUCAUCCAUACAUCUCAGCCAUGCCUGCAUCUGGGGAGUGAACAGAUAAAACUGUCAAUAAUCAUCUUGUCAGCUGUUCCUAGGCAUGCUUUUUCCCUUGUAGAAUCAGAACCUUUUCUAAAGGUCAUUCUUUUUACUUGUUUGCUCUUUUUUGGGUAAGAUCAUAAGCAUGCUGAUUUUAAAAAGCAACUGCAGCAACAGCUACUGGCAUGACAGAGGAGAUAGCAGGUUCUAGCCCAGGAGGCAGCAACAAGUGGGCAUAGCCUGAUAACCUCUAAAGCCACAUUCUCUCUUGACAAGGUCCUGAUGUAUAGCUACAGCUCCACUCUAUCACAACUGCAUUUGGUCCACUUAUUGCCAAUAUGCAUACUCAAUCACUGCUAUCUACAGGGAGAUAUGCCCUGUUGUCCUAAAGCAGAUAAUGUAACCCUUAGUCAGAUGGGCUUUACAAAGCAUUCCCAGCCUCCAGGGCAGAUCUUCGCAAUGAAAGCCAUGUUGUGGCCCACAGCAUAUGUAUGCAAACGAUGGCAUACAUGCAGGAGACCCUCACACAACAGUGUUCCAGUGAAGCCCAGUAGGAAAUCACCAAGGUGAGCCUUCAUGCUACCAUGCGAGUCUAUACCUCAAAAUGUUGAUUCCCAGCUCUGUCAGCUGUGGCUGCCAUGCUAUGGAAAUCUGAGUGGGCGGGGUGUGCUGGCGUGGAGCAUGUUAAGUAGCUAGGUCUUUUGCCUCUGUAGAGACAUAAACCAACACUGGCUUGCAGUAGGUCUGGGCCCAGCCCAGUUCACCCUGCAAGAGAGCAGUGGGACACUGAGAUGUUGCUUCAUUUCUGCCCAAGCCUCUUCUAAACCUACUUCUGCCCACCACAAGAACCAGUAAACAGGAUUAAGAAACCGAGAAUCAGAAUCUGCUUGCAUUUUAUGAACCAGACACAUACACACUGUAUGUACAGAGUUUCAGUGAUACAGAGCCAGAGCCUACAAAACUGGAAGUGUUGCUUCUUCCUUGUCACCCGAACUGUGUAAGCAAAUGCUGCAACUACACGCAUUUAAAUGUAGUUCAAAGUCUUACUGACUUGGAGACGUGUUGCAUGGAGGAAAUUAGUUUAUCUGAGUCUGAAACAUCAAAAAGACUUUAGGAAGGCAAUACAGAUGAUUGUCACCACAGCUUUGUUUAUAUCUGUGACUUAAAAUGCUGCUAUCUGUAAAUAAAAAGAAUGAGAAAGCAGCCAGUUUAAUGCCUGUAGACAAAUCAUCAUAGCUUCUUGUUCUGGGGAGGCAGGGAAUCAUCUGUCCUUAGAAGAAGCAAGGCCAGAAGUGCUGGCAUAGCUCACAGCAGGGCACAGGCAGACGAUGGACAAGUCCUUUCACUUAAUUUUACUGAAAUGUGUACCUGUUCACAUCACUGGUGGCCUCUCCACUUCAGACCUUCUUCUGCUCCUGGAAGCCAUGAAACAAAUGCAGCUGUUUGCAGGGCGUAUACAGCAGUCACAGGAUAUGUGUUUUCCAGCAGCACAUGCCUUCCUUUGGGAUUUCAUCUUAAUGAUUUGGCCACUGUCAGCAAAGCUUGAGCCCAUCACCUGAGCUAUCCAACCUGCCAUCCACAAGGUCAUCUCCUGCACUUGCUGAGAAAAUGCUGAGAUGUUUAAAAGACCAUCAACCUUUAUCCAUCAUGACUCAUCUCAAUUUCUUGCAAUAUUAUCAAAGCGUUAGUCUCCUCUCUAACUCAACACUAAUUAUACUAAAAUUUUUGUUUGUUUGUUUGUUUUUGUUUUGUAGCAAACUCCCUCCACCCUAAUUUUCCAGCAGUAUUUAAAAGGAAAUGUAAACCGAUAGCAACAGCUGUCACCAAGGCAGACUACUUUGUUGCCUCCUUGUUGUGAAACUGUAGUUAUGAAAGAGCAGUUGGAUGAAGCUCAGCCAGAAUCACAAAACGGGCAAUUUGUGCUACUGACUUGAGAAAGAAAACUGUCCAGACACUUUAA
Long non-coding RNA from Gallus gallus (chicken), 4810 nucleotides. RefSeq lists it as uncharacterized. Lineage: Eukaryota; Metazoa; Chordata; Aves; Galliformes; Phasianidae. The record is from RefSeq and is a predicted model, not a curated record. The transcript has 3 exons.